UCCUUCUUUCUCCUCCUCUCCCCCACCCCCUCCGCGCGACUCGCGCCCCUCUCUUUCGCCUCUCCUCCCCGGCGCGUCUUUCCCGGCCCGCCCGGUGCAUUGUGGGCUGACGUCUUGGGGUUUGACUGUCUAGUUACGGGGGCUGUCGGGAGCGGGUCGGUGCCUAUGACGGAGGCUGCUCAAGUUCAGGGCUCGGGGCUGGAAUACAUGGGGUGCGGGGACCCGGAAGGCUGGGGAGCCGGGUUGUCAGCUUGGAUAUAUACAUUCACAUAACAAUUGAAAUAAAGUAGAAAUGAAGAAAAUCGAAAUACAAGGAAGUGGAUCAGUCAGCUGCUGUUGUGAAACAAUCACCAGGACAUCUGAGUGAUAAAGAAGCUGAAGUUCAGAGAAAUUAUGCAGUCACUCCAGGGCACAUUAUAAGUGGCUGUAGCCAGAGCCCCAGCAUAUUAACCACUACACCAUGACACCAUGACCUGCUGUCUCUUGAAAACCACCAACUGCUCCCUGAGCUCUUAGCAUGAUGCAGGUACCCCAGAAAUGUAUGAAGAAAGGUGGAAAAAGGAAGGAAAGGGGCAAUGUUUGAAGUCUGAGAAAGUCUUUCCUAAUGCCUCUCAACCCCACUCCCCAAAUUCCCAGAUGCACUAGGGGAAAUGGUUCCUUGUUCCAUAUUAAAAUGACCUGUUACCUGUCUGGCGCUCCACAAAUAUUUGUGAAUAAAUGUCCUCUGUUACUGUGUGGAUCUUUUGUUCAAGCUUUCCUCUCGGCCAAGAGGUCUAAAGAAAGGGAGCUGGGACUUAUGGGAAAGUCCUCAAAGGUCAUGGAGCACAAGCUGGCAGAGGUCCACAGAAAGGUCAGUGUGCCAGCCCUGGGCCAAGCCUGACACUGUCCUUCCAUACCCCUGGACUGCUGGAUGGACUUGGAGGGCUAGGGUGGCCUAUCCAUUCCUGCCCAACUUCUCCAUGGGACCUGAUGCCUGUGGGCUGAGUGCACAGCACAAUGCCCACCUGUCACAUGAGGAAACCUAAGGGUUUGCUGGUAGAUCUCAGUUGUGCAAGCCACUAUAUGUCUUGGUGGCUUAGUUGGGCCCACCUGGCUGAUGGAUGGUUGACAAGUCGCAUGAAAAUCAGAACAGUCCUCAGGCACAUUGAGAAAGCAGUUUCCUUCCUUGCCCUGGGCAGGAGCUGGGCCAGGGAAAGUGAAGAAACCAGUUCAGGGCCUCUGUGGGGUGGGCGUGGGCGGGGCCCUGCCGGGAAAGGGGCUGCUGGACCAGUUUCCAUUACUUCAGGACCGGAUGUAGUCCUGUGACUCUGGCGGAGGCUGGAGAAAUGUGCGCCCUGGGCGCAUCUGUAUGUCCUCCAGGGCGGCCCUGGAUUUGAUAAUGAUAGGGCUAGGGGCUCUAGGUCAGCGGUCACCGGGCGUGCGACAUCCGGUUGCUAAAUUAGGUUGCUAAAUUCGCCAGUAGCGAAUCAGCUGACAGGUAGAACUAGAAGAGGCUGUGGACAUCCAGUGGGAAGGUGAAGGAAAAUGAAGGAAGGGGCGGUGCAGAGCAACAGCAGAGUAAUCGUGCGCCUCUCCUGACGUCACACCCACGCAAGUUAAACCUUAUCCUUUCGCCUCCGGCUGCGCGUUUGGGUGGGAAGAUCCCUCAGAGUUGCAUUGGAAUCCCAGCGGUACCACCUGGGGCUUUUGUGUUCUUGGGACUUUGCCUAUCUGAGACAAAGUUUCCCUAGAUGAAAAAGUGGGAAUACCAACUCAAAGCGUGGUGCAAGUCAGUCAAGUAACAUAGGAACAGUGCCUAGGACAUCGUAGGUGCACAUAAAGCGCAGUUACCUUUCCCUUCUCCAGGAUCCAGAUCUCACCCCCUAGUCCGGGGAAGUCGCGACCCACAGGCGACCCUGGGGAAAGCGAGGUUUGGGUGGCAGGAGGCGUGGCCUGGUUAUAACUCGCCGAUCAUUUGAGGGUCUGUUAGCCAAACUAUCAAAUAGAAUGGGGCCUGGGGGAGGAUCCCGAAAGCUGCCUUUGGAUCAUGUUUCUGUGAUCCUAGGAGGGCAUUUCACUGCAUUCUUUCAUUCAUGUAUUU
Long non-coding RNA from Manis pentadactyla (Chinese pangolin), 2080 nucleotides. RefSeq lists it as uncharacterized. The record is from RefSeq and is a predicted model, not a curated record. Lineage: Eukaryota; Metazoa; Chordata; Mammalia; Pholidota; Manidae. The transcript has 4 exons.